GCCGUCCCGUGUGGGCUGAGUCAACGAAGCAGCCUUUGAGUUCUUUUUUUUUCGAACUUCAUUUCCUUCGUCUUUCUCGUUUCUCUCGGGAGAGGAGGUGGAAGCCAUGGCGGAGAGGCCUGCGGCGACGCCGUAUCCUGCUUGGCCGGUGUCGGAGGCAGAGGGGAUUCGCGAGCUGGGAAGACCGACGACGGGCAGAGCGCUGAUCUCCCAGCAGCCGGAGCGAGAGCCGCGACUCGCAUUCCCCCUCGAAGUACGAUGAAUAGAUCGCCGAUUCGCGACCGUCAAAAGCAUGUGCGCCGACGGGUUAUGGUGUCAAGGAAAUAAACUGGUGGGAGCCUCGGCAGCCACCCGGGCACGCCAGGUGCCGGCUCUGCCACUGUUUCUGAUGUAUGGUACUGCUUUUUAUAUUAUUGAUGGAUUUUUUUGAUUGAGAUAGGUUCUGUUGAAGUCUGAGAUUGUUGUAAUUUUGACUUUUCUACUAUCCAUCAGCUAUUUGUUGCUUAGGUCAUGUUAUAUCAGACAACCUGAAGCUUUUAGAAUCACUCAUAUGUUAUCAUCCUCUAUUGCUAUAGUUGCUUUUGAGUUCAGCUGUCUACAAACCUGGAUAUCAUUCAUCGUUUUCUAUUAGAGUUUAUCGUUCAUUGUAAUAUGAGUAUGCAGUGGCGAAGCUGCAAACAAAUACAUGGGCGGGCCAACUUAAAGAAGAGGAAAAAUAUCACGUCUUAGCUAGUGUGCUGCUACUGUUAAAGUGUUAAAGGCUAAUUUGGAGAUACAGGGGAUUUUUCUUGGAAAAUAUCCAAUCGCUAGCUAAUAAUCUGCCAAUCUGGGAAAGAAAAAUAUAAACAUGCUAGUGUGUUGUAUUUUCUGCAAUUGAAGGGAAAGUGGACGUGAGCUGCUCCAUUGAUGCAUGGGCUUGCUGCUGCAACGCCGUCGACGCUGCCAGGCAGGUAGACACGACAGGUUGUAUUUCAGUCAUUAUCGGAUUUCAAAAUCAUCCUAUUCAGUCUUGUUAUAUUUUAGUCUUUCAACCUUCGUUUCUUUCAGUCUCUCGAUCUUCAUUUAUUUCUGUCCUUCUCAUUUUUCUAUGUUUUGUUCUUAUGUUUUUAUGGCCUUCUCAUCGUUCUAAGUCAUGUUCUUCAGUCUUUCAAUCUUCAUUUUAAGGAACUUCCUCCGACCUUGUAAGCCUACAAGUGAAGAACUCACUAAUCUCGAGUCCACCAUAUAUGGGAGAGCUCACUAAUCUCAGUGUUCUUUAGUGUUUCAUUCUCCAGUUACCUAUUUGUUCUUUAGCAUUAGUAUUCAGCUUUCUGUUAUUCACUGUCAGUCAUCUCACUCUUGUUCGUCUUCAUUAUUUCAUUCUCUCUUUGUAUUUAUCCAGUGCUGAUUUCAGUACUUCAGCAUUUUCAUGUUCUCAUUCGAUCUUGAGCCUUUCAGAUUAUUUUUUAGGGAAAAUUUGCUACAGGACACCGUCAUUUUUUGGUAUUUGCUGAAACACACCGCUCGACUGUGUCUUUGCUGUUGGAAUUAAGCACGUCGAUGCCAAUACGGCAUCGUGCGCAUUGUCGUAUACGAGUGGUAUACGUCCGUGUAUACGAGUAGGUCUUGUGUUGUCCAGUUUGUGUAGGAUUAGGAGUCCUAAUUCUACUAGGUUAGCUACACAAUGACUACUAUAUAUACACCUGUAACCCCCUGUAAUCUGUACCAAGAGAAAAGAAAGAAAGAGGUGUUACGAGAGGCUCGACACGGGCCUCUAGCAAUCCAACAAUCGUGUCUUUGCGUGUGUGUUCCGACGAGACAGAAAUCGUCACAAGUAUCGAUCGUUCGCUGGUGUGUUGAUACGUACCUGAAGCUAGCUAUCUAGGAAAGCAAUCUAGAUCAACUAGCUUAUACGUACGUAUCUUGCCACCAGCUAGCACUUGCGCGUCUUGCCGGAAUCAAGCCAGCUUCGCUACAUACUCUACGCGUCUGUCUUGCCGGAAAGUACACGGCGGACUUCGUCGCUAGAUCGGGCCAGUUCUAACAUUUGCUAGGUACCAUUACAAUUUUGUGACAUAUUUGCCAAAACACACCACCAGCCCAAAAAAGGUAAGUUUUGCACUUUUGCGUGUGAUGAUUGGUUUUGAAGACAAAGUGCAAAACUUUCCUUUUUUAGCCAUGUGGUAUGUUUUGGCAAAUGUGCCACGAAAUUGUAAUGGUACCUAGCAAAGACACAAUCGAGCGGUGUGUUUCAGCAAAUGCCAAAAAACAACGGUGUCCUGUAGCAAAUUUUCCCUUUUUUUUAUAGUCACUCAGUAACUCGUUUCUUAGUGUAUUUCUUAAGCAUCUGAAUUCUCCAGUCUAUUUUAUUUGACUUUCAGUAUUUCACUUUUUCGUUACUUCUUUCAUUUUCUGUUUUUAAAUUCUUUGUAUUUAUCAGGAUUCUUAAGUAUCUUGGUUCAGUUCUUAUGUUUUUCACUACUUCAGUUCUUCAUUCAGUUUAGUUUUCAAAAAUUGUUGAUUUCAGAGUUCAGAUGCUCUUCGUCAGUUUCUUUCUUAGUUCAUUCUUUCUUUCUUAAUUCAUUUUUUUUAUUUUCUUCAUUCCCUCAGGUGCUAGUCCUUCUUUCUUCAGUCAUCCUUUAUCCAUGUCAUUAGUUCUUUAGUUAUCUUUCUCUAUGUUGUCAAAGUUUCAUUCAUUCCUUUUUUUCAUUAAAUUAUUCUUUAGUCCCUUAGUCUAUCUUUCUUCAUUAUAUAGCAUAUGUAAAUGCAUUUGAAGCAUCUUUUCUUGAUUGCUUCAUUCACUUGCAUUUCUUACUUCAUUCUCUCUGUCUAUCUAACUCAUGGAAGUGUAUUGAUUUUUCUUCAGACCCCAGUAAUCAGUCAUCUGUACACAGUGUAUGUUUCUUCAUUCUUAUUUUCUCUCUCUUCAGCCAUUCAAUUUUGAAUUAUUCAGUCAUUUGUUUAUUCAACCUUCUUUAGUCUUUAAUUGUUAAGUUUGUUGUUCAGUCCUGAAAUUGGAAGACUUCAUAGAUUCGGUGAGCCUAUACGCAUUGUCUUGUCUUUCAGUCCUUCUAUUCUUCAGUCUGUCAUAUUUCCUCGAUCAUCGGUUACUAUCUCCAUUUUGUCCUUCAAUAUAUGUUAUGUCCUCUUUCUUUUGGUCCUAUGUUCAGUCAUCCCUCCCUUCUUGGUGCCCUACUUAUGUCCUCUGUCUUCCUAUGGGUUUAUAUGCACUUCUAGUAUGGGAACCAUCAGCAAGUCCAUUGAAUUUUGUUGCCCUUCUAGUGGAAGUUCCCGGCUGAACCUGAUUCGCUAGGAAGUGGCUCCGCCACUUGUGGCAAGAGGAAGUGCGUGGUGCAUAGUAGACAAUUUCUCUCAGGUAGUCUAGCCAGGAUAUUUGUGGUGCAUACUUGAUGCUCUUUGUCAUGAUUUUUUUAUUAGUGCUUGCCUCAGUUUGGCAUCUUAAGAUUAUUAUUUAACAACAGGAAGUUACUUAGCGGUAAACCCAUAGCAACAGCUUGGCCCGCAACGGAAAUUGCAGCAGCUCCCAAACCUGCAGCCACUACCAAACCUGGUAUGUGCAGUUAAACAGGAGUAUAGAAAAGCAGGUGUACUCCAGUCCUCAAUCCAGUUUUGCAAUCUGUGAACAAAAUUCACGUUUUCGCGUGACAUGGAGUUUCAGGAGCACACCUUGGACUGACUGGAAUCUCCAAAUUGAAAAACGAAAAAAAGGCUAUGGCAGCUGGAGCAGAAGGAAGAGGUGGUUACACUCAUGUUUCAGUUUGCCUGAUGGACAGGAAGGUCGAUCAGGCUUUAUGAU
Lolium perenne is the source of this 3796-nucleotide long non-coding RNA. RefSeq lists it as uncharacterized. The record is from RefSeq and is a predicted model, not a curated record. Lineage: Eukaryota; Viridiplantae; Streptophyta; Magnoliopsida; Poales; Poaceae.